Molecule: long non-coding RNA, 353 nt
Organism: Hyaena hyaena (striped hyena)
Lineage: Eukaryota; Metazoa; Chordata; Mammalia; Carnivora; Hyaenidae
Exons: 3
Source: RefSeq, a predicted model, not a curated record
GCCGGAAGUGGGCAGGGUUUGCAUGGAGGCGGGGCUUUGUUGGCAAACCUGUCUGGCUUUUUGAGAGCUUUGGAGCCACCAUAAGAGAAGACCAUCAUGCUGAAGAGGCCACAUUCUGGACAACAGAGCCAGCCUAGCCCAGUGAUCUAGUCAUCCCUGCCAUUGUGAGUGAAGCUGUCUUGAACCCUCCAAACUUCUCAUUAACCAGCAGAAGAUACUCAAAGGAAGAUGGAGCCACAGAACAAAAAUUAAGUUCAAGGCCCUGUUAGAAAAACAUGGACUCAAAGUAAAGAUGAAGGACUGUAAAGCCUUUUGUUAUGAGUUCAGAAAGAGAUAAAGCCUUGUAAAAACAA